GACGAACGCUGGCGGCGUGCUUAACACAUGCAAGUCGAACGGAAAGGCCCUGCUUGCAGGGUACUCGAGUGGAGAACGGGUAAGUAACACGUGUGUGAUCUGUCCCGCAGUUAGGGAUAAGUCUGUACAAAAGGGUCUAUUACCGGAUAGGAGCCAUCUUUAGUGUGAUGGUUGGAAAGUUAUUUCGGUGUAGGAUGAGCUCGCGGCCUACUAGCCUGCUGGUGGGGUAAUGGCUUACCAAUGCGGCGGCGGGGAGCCAGCCUGGCAGGGUGGACGGCCACAAUGGGGCUGAGAUACAGCCCCGGCCCCUACGGGGAGGAGCAGGGGGGGAUAUUGCACAAUGGGCACGAGCCUGAGGCAGCUCCGCCGCUGCGGGGGUGACGGCCUUCGGGUUAUGAACUCCGUUCUCUAUGGGCGGAGCUUUUAGUGACGGUACCUAGAUAAGAAGCACCGGCUAACUACGUG
RNAcentral lists this ribosomal RNA (465 nucleotides) under uncultured bacterium. RNAcentral's name for it is "partial 16S ribosomal RNA". It matches the Rfam family "Bacterial small subunit ribosomal RNA", at positions 28 to 507 of the family's 1533-position model. The record is from RNAcentral.